Molecule: ribosomal RNA, 253 nt
Filed under: uncultured bacterium
Lineage: Bacteria
Description: partial 16S ribosomal RNA
Rfam family: Bacterial small subunit ribosomal RNA
Source: RNAcentral
GACGAAGGCGGCUAGCGUUGUUCGGAAGUACUGGGCUUAAAGCGUGUGUAGGCGGAACAGUAAGUGCUUUGUGACAGCCCUCGGCUUAACCGGGGAAUUGCUUGGCAUACUGCUGUUCUUGAGGCAGGUAGGGGUGCGUGGAACUCUCGGUGGAGCGGUGGAAUGCGUAGAUAUCGAGAGGAACGCCCGUGGAGAAGUCGGCGCACUGGGCCUGACCUGACGCUGAGACACGAAAGCGUGGGGAGCGAACGGG